CUUAAUUUUAUGCCUCCUCCUUACCCACGUCUCUCCACCCUUCUAUCUUUAUCUCUCUGAUCUCCAGCCAAAUCACGUCUCCCCUCCAUCCCUCUUUAUCUCUCUCUCUCUCCCUGUUCUUCUUCUUCCCGAAACUGCUCUCCUUCAACCACAGAUUCGGUUUCGUCUCCAUCCCUAUAUUCGGUUCCGUCUAGCUGUGCUUCAACCGCUCAGAUUUCUGAGGUUACGAUUUCAGAGGUUGCGAUUUCAUCGCUCAGAUUUUCUGAUUAUCUGAAAAUCACCAAGUCGACCAUUUUUUUUCUUGAAAGGCUUGCGGAGAUACCAGAAAACAGAGUUUCUGCAAAGCAUUACGGUUAAUUUUCAGGUUAAAUUCUUUCAGAGUAGCGAGUGAGAGAGGGAGGGAGAGAUGAUUUCAGAGAAGGAAGAAGAAGCAUCAGUUCCUCGGCGCUUAUCCUGCACCACCUGCUUUGAUGCGCUCUGGUUUUGCUAUUAUGCAGCAGUAUUAUAGGCUUGGUGUCCUUGAUAACUGUUCUGGAAAAUGGAAUGCUCUUGUUGAUUGCUUAACUCUGAAAACAAAACGAACUUCUGUAGUGGAGGUACUGCCCUAAUCAGUAAUUGGGACUAAUGUUUGGAUUCUUGGCUUCUUGUAGCGGAGAUAAAGAAGUUGGUGCAGGCAAUUUUUUCUCAAGUAAUGUCAAUGUAUUCAUUAGGAAGGGGAAUUUGGAGAUAGAUAACUUUUAAAAAGGCAGAAGUUUGGAGAAUCUUCUGACGUCUGCCUGAUGUCUGUACUGAAGUGGUUGAGCACUUGUUCUUGUCUGUUUAGAAGCUGGAAUUACCAUUACUCAUAAUAGUUUUUCUAUUAUCAUAUACUUGUAUUUCUUCAUCAUAGCUUGAGAUCAUACCCACAUUUUAGGUUGUGAUGGAGGGAGACAAUUAUGAUUUUAAAAUUCAAGCUAUGUCAUGCAUGGUUUUGAAUAUCGUCCCCCAACUGUGUUGGGUGAUGCGUAUCAAGUUUUUGUCCUGAUAAAAAAUAACGCUCAAUUAGUACAACAUUAAUGUAUGUUUGGGAGGAGAAAGAUUGGGUAUACACCAUAGUAUAUUGGUUGGAAUUGAAAAUCACUUGCGUAUUGGCCGGUUCCCAAUAUGUAUUGGUUCACAGUCGAUACAUAGCCGAUUUGCAGUCAAUACUGUCGGUUCAUAGUCGAUUCAUAGUCAAUAUGGCAGGUUCAUAGCCGAUUCAACUCAAAUAUUUUUGAGGUUGGUGAUUUUAAAAAAUUCACGACCACAACACCCAAUUCUCAAUACAUAUCAGUCGAUACCCCCAAUACUGUUACAUAUUCUGAUACUGCUAUUUGAAACUAUAACGGCAUGUGCAAUUUUCUGUGUUCUGCUGCAAAUAACAAGCUGAGCGCCUCAUA
This is a non-coding RNA of Camellia sinensis, 1418 nucleotides long. The record is from RefSeq and is a predicted model, not a curated record. Lineage: Eukaryota; Viridiplantae; Streptophyta; Magnoliopsida; Ericales; Theaceae.